Non-coding RNA from Arvicanthis niloticus (Nile rat), 1843 nucleotides. The record is from RefSeq and is a predicted model, not a curated record. Lineage: Eukaryota; Metazoa; Chordata; Mammalia; Rodentia; Muridae.
CGCGGGCACUGCUGGUGGAUGGCCCGGGGGAGUCCCGAGACCGACACGCUGCGGGUCCCCGUCUCGACCCCGAGCCCUCUUAGAGCGCCUCUGUGACCUGUGGGCACUCUUUGUCGGUGAUUGCCGGGAGGGCGGCGGGGACAUAGGUACCACACUGGAAGCGAGCGGGCAAGCCACUUUUGCCUCUGGGUAAGCCCGAAGACGCUGGUCCCGGGACCCUAGACGGGUCUUCGUUCCAUCGACUCUUUUCAGCCCUCCUUGAUCCCGCCCGCACCCUCUGCCCGGGGCCGCACUCUUCACUUCGGCUCCCAUCCGCUCUAGGGAGCCUAGGUGUCCCUGGGCUCCACCCUGUCCCUCCCGGGACCUCUCUCCCUUCACACCCUUCCCCCACCCUGGAGGCCCGGCUGGACACGACCCAGAGUUGCCACCGCCCGCUUCUGCCACUCAAUGGAGGACAGUCUGCUGGAGAUCAUGACCAAGGACGGCGGCGACACGCCGGCGCCUCUGGAGGUGUCCACGGUGCCAGCCGUGGGGGACGUGAUCUCUGGGGAGUAUAACGGUGGUAUGAAGGAACUGAUGGAGCACCUGAAGGCGCAGCUGCAGGCCCUGUUUGAGGACGUGAGGGCCAUGCGAGGGGCACUGGACGAGCAGGCCUCGCACAUCCAGGUUCUGUCGGACGACGUGUGCGCCAACCAGCGGGCCAUAGUCUCCAUGUGCCAGAUUAUGACCACUGCGCCCCGCCAGGGAGGCUUGGGCGUGGCCGGCGGCAAGGGGAGCUUCCCGAGUGUUCCCCAUGACCCAGACACACCUUCGCCUGGGAUCGGGGACAGCGGCUUACUGAGUCGCGAUCCUGAUGAAGAGGAAGAGGACGAAGAGGAGGAGAAAGAGAUGCCUACCCCCGCCACACCCACCAGUCACUGCGAGCGCUCUGAGAGCCCUGGUCUCCUUGGGGAGGAUGGGCCACUUGUGGAGCCCCUCGACCUGCCUGACAUUACCCUGCUGAAGCUGGAGGGCGAGGCCUCUCUGUCAGGGAGAGAAGAGACUCCCUCAAAGAAGGAUUUGUAGAGUGAAGGACUUUGGAAGCAUCGUGAAUUCCACCCAACCAGACAUCAUAGCAAACUGCAGAAAGAUCUCUCUGCAGCUGCCGAUUGGUAAAGGAAGCUCGAGGAGGGGACUGCAGCCCUAGGAAUCGGGGUACAUGGGUUCCCAGGGCCCCCGGGGCUGGGAGGAGCUGGCUAUGAUGUUCGUGAAGGAAAACACACGGAACCUGCCCCGUCACUGACUUUAUCUAGGAUUGCUUUGCCACUCACCUGGGCCUAGAGAACAAAGUGCUCGGGUCACAGGCAGAGACUUGGGAUUGCUCAGCAAUAGUCCAGAUUUAGGGGAUGUCUGAGGGACUCUGGGGGUGGGGGUGGGGGCACUGCAGCCCAACACUGUCUUUUCUGGUUAUACCUGCUUAACUUCAGUUCCUGUUUUUCUGUCAAUAUGUCAGUACACUCUGCUUUUUGGUGUCGCCUCCAUAAUGUCUUGUGUUAUGUGUGUCCACUUGUGUAGUAGUGUGUGAGCCCUCAGGGGCAGGGCUUGUGGCUCUAGUAUUAGGUUCAGGGGGCUCCAGACCCGUCUUCGAGCCCCAGGCUGUCAUGGCGCUUUCCGCUCUUUUCCCCUUUGCCCCAACUCCUCAACCAGGGCAUGGAGCAUGUGGCUGUCCUGAGAGGUUCCUUAACCGGUGUGCCCUCCCUCCUACCUUCUGAAGUGGUGACUGUGUGUGCCCCUCCCCCUCUGUGUAUGCUUUCUCAAUGCUUUGCUUGAUGUCAACCUUAAUAAAAGGACAUCAUCUCCCCUC